RNAcentral lists this transfer RNA (71 nucleotides) under Loxodonta africana (African savanna elephant). It matches the Rfam family "tRNA". Rfam says of the family: Transfer RNA (tRNA) molecules are approximately 80 nucleotides in length. Their secondary structure includes four short double-helical elements and three loops (D, anti-codon, and T loops). The record is from Rfam by way of RNAcentral. Lineage: Eukaryota; Metazoa; Chordata; Mammalia; Proboscidea; Elephantidae.
GCAGUGGUCAUUCAGUGGUAGAAUUCUGGCCUUCCAUGUGGGAGACCCAGGUACGAUUCCUGGCCAGUGCA